Molecule: non-coding RNA, 77 nt
Filed under: Maledivibacter halophilus
Lineage: Bacteria; Bacillati; Bacillota; Clostridia; Peptostreptococcales; Caminicellaceae
Source: RNAcentral
GUGAGCGGAAUGCGGUGAAAGCUGCACGUUCCGUUCUUUGGGGAGGGAAUCACUGUGAGGUAAUUCCCUUACCCGAC